This 425-nucleotide ribosomal RNA is filed under the name uncultured bacterium. Its description in RNAcentral is "partial 16S ribosomal RNA". It matches the Rfam family "Bacterial small subunit ribosomal RNA", at positions 354 to 796 of the family's 1533-position model. The record is from RNAcentral.
GUUAGGAAUAUUGGACAAUGGGCGCAAGCCUGAUCCAGCCAUGCCGCGUGAGUGAUGAAGGCCUUCGGGUUGUAAAGCUCUUUAGCCGAUGAUUAUAAUGACUGUAGUCGGAAAAUAAGCCCCGGCUAACUUCGUGCCAGCAGCCGCGGUAAUACGAAGGGGGCGAGCGUUAUUCGGAAUCACUGGGCGUAAAGGGUGCGUAGGCGGCUUUGCAAGUUGGGAGUGAAAGCCCAGGGCUCAACCCUGGAAUUGCUCUCAAAACUGCAAGGCUCGAAUUCGGGAGAGGAUAGCGGAAUUGGCAGUGUAGCAGUGAAAUGCGUAGAUAUUGACAGGAACACCAGUGGCGUAAGCGGCUAUCUGGACCGAUAUUGACGCUGAGGCACGAAAGCGUGGGGAUCAAACAGGAUUAGAUACCCGUGUAGUCC